ACUGCUGGGGAAUACAGGUCUCUCGUCUUUCUCCUGAAGCUCCCUCCACUCUCUCUUACAAAUGAACAACAACAACAUGUGUAUUCUCCUACAAUCAUCAUUACAAUAAUAACAACUUUCUGUCCAUCGUGUUAGGUUUUCGUGUAGAUAGGAGUGUGAAAAAGAAGCAUGGGUAGCAGCUCUCAGGCGAUCCGCUAUCCAGUUACAACAACCUGUGCCGGAAAUAUUGAUGCUCUUAAUAGAGUUCUUGCUAACCUAUGUACCAGAAGCAAUCCUAAGGAUGGGGCUGCAUUGACCUUGAGGUGGCUUGUAGAGGAAGAAGCUCGUGAUCUUAGUGGAGAAGCAUUUGCUCGUUUCAUGGAUCAUCUAUAUGAACGCAUUACUACAUUUCUUGAUAGUAAUAAAGUUUCUGAAAAUCUGGGAGCAUUGAGGGCUAUUGAUGAGCUAAUAGAUGUCACCAUCAGCGAAAAUACAUCAAAAGUGGCAAAAUUCUCCAAUUACAUGCGCGCAGCCUUUGAAACAAAGCGUGAUCCUGAAAUCUUGGUCCUUGCUAUUAAAGUUCUUGGUCACCUAGCUAGAUCUGGUGGUGCAAUGACUGCAGAUGAAGUAGAACGUUAGGUUAAAGUUGCACUAGAAUGGCUUCGUGGUGAAAGAAUUGAGUAUCGUCGCCUUGCUGCAGUCUUAAUAUUAAAGGAAAUGGUAGAAAAUGCUUCAACCGGCUUCAAUGUUCACGUGCCGGAGUUUGUAGAUGCUAUUUGGGUUGCUCUGAGGGAUCCAACAUUAGCUGUUGGAGAAAAAGCUGUUGAGUCAUUGCGUGCGUGCCUUCGGGUUAUUGAAAAGCGUGAGACAAGGUGGCGUGUUUAGUGGUAUUAUUGAAUGUUUGAGGCUACCCAAGAUGGAUUGGGGAGAAAUGCACCUGUUCAAAGUAUACAUGGAUCCCUUCUCGCAGUCGGGGACCGGCUAAGG
Molecule: RNA transcript, 966 nt
Organism: Capsicum annuum
Lineage: Eukaryota; Viridiplantae; Streptophyta; Magnoliopsida; Solanales; Solanaceae
Gene name: serine/threonine-protein kinase TOR-like
Exons: 5
Source: RefSeq, a predicted model, not a curated record